RNAcentral lists this ribosomal RNA (253 nucleotides) under uncultured bacterium. Its description in RNAcentral is "partial 16S ribosomal RNA". It matches the Rfam family "Bacterial small subunit ribosomal RNA", at positions 524 to 776 of the family's 1533-position model. The record is from RNAcentral.
UACGAAGGGGGCUAGCGUUGCUCGGAAUCACUGGGCGUAAAGCGCACGUAGGCGGAUUGUUAAGUCAGGGGUGAAAGCCCGGAGCUCAACUCCGGAACUGCCUUUAAGACUGCAUCGCUUGAAUCCAGGAGAGGUGAGUGGAAUUCCGAGUGUAGAGGUGAAAUUCGUAGAUAUUCGGAAGAACACCAGUGGCGAAGGCGGCUCACUGGACUGGUAUUGACGCUGAGGUGCGAAAGCGUGGGGAGCAAACAGG